AGAGUUUGAUCCUGGCUCAGGAUAAACGCUGGCGGCGUGCCUAACACAUGCAAGUCGAACGCCCUCUCGCAAGAGAGGGAGUGGCGGACGGGUGAGUAACACAUGGGUACCUGCCCCGAGGUGAGGAAUACCGGCGAGAAAUCGCCGACAAUACCGCAUACGUUUCGCAAGAAACAAAGCUCGCAAGGGCGCCUUGGGAUGGGCCUGUGGCCGAUUAGCUUGUUGGUGAGGUAAGAGCUCACCAAGGCCACGAUCGGUAGCUGGUCUGAGAGGAUGGUCAGCCACACUGGGAUUGAGAACGGCCCAGACUCCUACGGGGGGCAGCAGUGAGGAAUUUUCGUCAAUGGGGGCAACCCUGAACGAGCAACGCCGCGUGCAGGAGGACGCUUUUCGGAGUGUAAACUGCUUUUCUUGGGGACGAGCAAGGACGGUACCCAAGGAAUAAGCCCCGGCUAACUACGUGCCAGCAGCCGCGGUAAU
This 480-nucleotide ribosomal RNA is filed under the name uncultured soil bacterium. RNAcentral's name for it is "bacterial SSU rRNA". It matches the Rfam family "Bacterial small subunit ribosomal RNA", at positions 8 to 524 of the family's 1533-position model. The record is from RNAcentral.